GGUGAAGCAUUUGGAGAGGUUGAGAGGUAUUUGAAGGCCAGAAGUGGGGGUUCAGGAAAGAUUUCUUUCCGGAUGGGGUCCCCAUCGAGUAUGGGUUGUAACUGUUUGAUGGUACUCUACAUGGAUUCCAG
This is a non-coding RNA of Chelonoidis abingdonii (Abingdon island giant tortoise), 131 nucleotides long. The record is from RefSeq and is a predicted model, not a curated record. NCBI's taxonomy places the organism in Eukaryota, Metazoa, Chordata, Testudines, Testudinidae.